UGUAUAGCUUUAGCAUAAUUGACUGAGCGAAGUGAGGUCUCUGAGUCUACUUGAGGGAAAUUGCACUUGUCCAUCUGUCCGUCUGUCAGAGCCUUAUAAUUUCUGAAUUACUGAACGUAAUUACUUCAAAUUUGAACACAAUAUGUAAACUGAUAGCCUUCAGCCGAAUAUUGCAU
Molecule: long non-coding RNA, 176 nt
Organism: Maniola jurtina (meadow brown)
Lineage: Eukaryota; Metazoa; Arthropoda; Insecta; Lepidoptera; Nymphalidae
Exons: 3
Source: RefSeq, a predicted model, not a curated record